UAGGGAAUCUUCCACAAUGGACGCAAGUCUGAUGGAGCAACGCCGCGUGAGUGAAGAAGGGUUUCGGCUCGUAAAGCUCUGUUGUUAAAGAAGAACACGUAUGAGAGUAACUGUUCAUACGUUGACGGUAUUUAACCAGAAAGUCACGGCUAACUACGUGCCAA
RNAcentral lists this ribosomal RNA (164 nucleotides) under uncultured bacterium. Its description in RNAcentral is "partial 16S ribosomal RNA". It matches the Rfam family "Bacterial small subunit ribosomal RNA", at positions 355 to 511 of the family's 1533-position model. The record is from RNAcentral.